Molecule: ribosomal RNA, 331 nt
Filed under: uncultured bacterium
Lineage: Bacteria
Description: bacterial SSU rRNA
Rfam family: Bacterial small subunit ribosomal RNA
Source: RNAcentral
UGUGUAGGCGGUUGUUUAAGUUUGGUGUGAAAUCUCCCGGCUCAACUGGGAGGGUGCGCCGAAUACUGAAUGACUUCGAGUGCGGGAGAGGAAAGUGGAAUUCCUGGUGUAGCGGUGAAAUGCGUAGAUAUCAGGAGGAACACCGGUGGUGUAGGCGGCUUUCUGGACCGUAACUGACGCUGAGACACGAAAGCGUGGGUAGCAAACAGGAUUAGAUACCCUGGUAGUCCACGCCCUAAACGAUGCAUAUUUGGUGUGGGCAGUUCAUUCUGUCCGUGCCGGAGCUAACGCGUUAAAUAUGCCGCCUGGGGAGUACAGUCGCAAGGCUGAA